GACGAACGCUGGCGGCGUGCCUAAUACAUGCAAGUAGAACGCUUAAGAGAGGAGCUUGCUCUUCUUGGAUGAGUUGCGAACGGGUGAGUAACGCGUAGGUAACCUGCCUUGUAGCGGGGGAUAACUAUUGGAAACGAUAGCUAAUACCGCAUAACAAUGGAUGACCCAUGUCAUUUAUUUGAAAGGGGCAAAUGCUCCACUACAAGAUGGACCUGCGUUGUAUUAGCUAGUAGGUGAGGUAACGGCUCACCUAGGCGACGAUACAUAGCCGACCUGAGAGGGUGAUCGGCCACACUGGGACUGAGACACGGCCCAGACUCCUAAGGGAGGAAGCAGUAGGGAAUCUUCGGCAAUGGGGGCAACCCUGACCGAGCAACGCCGCGUGAGUGAAGAAGGUUGUCGGAUCGUAAAGCUCUGUUGUAAGUCAAGAACGAGUGUGAGAGUGGAAAGUUCACACUGUGACGGUAGCUUACCAGAAAGGGACGGCUAACUACGUG
RNAcentral lists this ribosomal RNA (497 nucleotides) under uncultured bacterium. Its description in RNAcentral is "partial 16S ribosomal RNA". It matches the Rfam family "Bacterial small subunit ribosomal RNA", at positions 28 to 507 of the family's 1533-position model. The record is from RNAcentral.